AAAUUGUUGAAAGGGAAGCGCUUGUGACCAGACUUGCGCCGGGCAGCUCAUCAGGGGUUCUCCCCUGUGCACUCUGCCCGGCUCAGGCCAGCAUCGGUUCUCGUGGGAGGAUAAGAACGGUAGGAACGUGGCCCCCUUCCGGGGGGGUGUUAUAGCCUACCGUACGAUACUCCCGUGGGGACCGAGGUUCGCGCUCCGCAAGGAUGCUGGCGUAAUGGUCAUCAGCGACCCGUCUUGAAACACGGACCAAGGAGUCGUCCAUUAGAGCGAGCGUUUGGGUGUAAAACCCGCACGCGUAAUGAAAGUGAACGCAGGUGAGAGCUUCGGCGCAUCAUCGACCGAUCCUGAUGUCUUCGGAUGGAUUUGAGUAAGAGUUUUAACGGACGGACCCGAAAGACAGUGAACUAUGCUUGUAUAGGGUGAAGCCAGAGGAAACUCUGGUGGAGGCUCGCAGCGGUUCUGACGUGCAAAUCGAU
RNAcentral lists this ribosomal RNA (476 nucleotides) under Cytospora schulzeri. Its description in RNAcentral is "partial large subunit ribosomal RNA". It matches the Rfam family "Eukaryotic large subunit ribosomal RNA", at positions 402 to 902 of the family's 3401-position model. Lineage: Eukaryota; Fungi; Ascomycota; Sordariomycetes; Diaporthales; Cytosporaceae. The record is from RNAcentral.